AAUAAACCAAUUCCUGUGUUUUUGAUUGAAUUUUUGACUCUUCGGCUUAUUUAAAAAAAUUUUAUGAUUAAUAUGUUUAUUGUUAUUACAUGAUAAAACAUGAAUAGUACUUUGCAUGUGACUAUUUUUUUAAUUUUUUAAUAAAUUCUUAAAAUAAGACGGAUGGUCAAACACUCUAUAUGCAAAACUCAGA
RNAcentral lists this microRNA precursor (193 nucleotides) under Oryza brachyantha (malo sina). RNAcentral describes it as "MIR812 microRNA precursor family". It matches the Rfam family "MIR812 microRNA precursor family". Lineage: Eukaryota; Viridiplantae; Streptophyta; Magnoliopsida; Poales; Poaceae. The record is from Rfam by way of RNAcentral.